AUUGAACGCUGGCGGCAUGCCUAACACAUGCAAGUCGAGCGGAUGAAGGGAGCUUGCUCCUGGAUUCAGCGGCGGACGGGCGAGUAAUGCCUAGGAAUCUGCCUGGUAGUGGGGGAUAACGUCAGGAAACGGGCGCUAAUACCGCAUACGUUCUGAGGGUGAAAGUGGGGGAUCUUCGGACCUCACGCUAUCAGCUGAGCCUAGGUCGGAUUAGCUAGUUGGUGAGGUAAAGGCCUACCAAGGCGACGAUCCGUAACUGGUCUGAGAGGAUGAUCAGUCACACUGGAACUGAGACACGGUCCAGACUCCUACGGGAGGCAGCAGUGGGGAAUAUUGGACAAUGGGCGAAAGCCUGAUCCAGCCAUGCCGCGUGUGUGAAGAAGGUCUUCGGAUUGUAAAGCACUUUAAGUUGGGAGGAAGGGCAGUGAGUUAAUACCUUGCUGUUUUGACGUUACCAACAGAAUAAGCACCGGCUAACUUCGUG
RNAcentral lists this ribosomal RNA (484 nucleotides) under uncultured bacterium. RNAcentral's name for it is "partial 16S ribosomal RNA". It matches the Rfam family "Bacterial small subunit ribosomal RNA", at positions 30 to 507 of the family's 1533-position model. The record is from RNAcentral.